Molecule: ribosomal RNA, 1363 nt
Filed under: Asychis amphiglyptus
Lineage: Eukaryota; Metazoa; Annelida; Polychaeta; Maldanidae
Description: 16S ribosomal RNA
Source: RNAcentral
ACAGUGGUUCGACUCCACUUAUUCUAAUGCUUUAUAAAUAAUACUUUUCAUAUUAUAAAUAGAAAUAACAAUACUACAAAACUUGAGAAAAUAAAACAAUAAUAGCUUAACCGCAAGGGUAUARUAUAAACAAAUAAACAGUAAAAAUAAACCCUUAUACCUUGUGCAUCAUGGUUCAGCAAACUUAAAACCUACAGGCUCUACCCCGAAAACUCCGGAGCUGUAUUUAUAGUGCUAGGAGCAAAAUUAUAUAUGUUGCAAUAUAUUAGUAACAUCUAAAUACAGUGGCUACAUACCUAUCGCAGGAGCAGAUAGCUGGUUCUCUUAAACCCUAUAAAAGUAGGACAAUAGGUUUAAACCAAACUUAUAUGUUAUUUAAUAAAGGCCAAGCUUUAUUAUACCCCAAAUCUACAAACAAAAUAUAAAAAAUAUGUAGGGUUUACAGCACCCACCACUAUACUGCAUAACUGCACCUAUAUAGAAGACUAUAAUUUAAAUAUAACUUUUUAAAAGAUGGGCUUAAUAACUGAGAACGUGUUAAAACAUAUAACACAACUAUUCUGCUGAAAUAAGUAUUACCUACCCCAAAUAUUUUUAAAACUCUAAUAAACAUUUAAAAAUAAACACUUUAUAAUAUUAAUUAUUUAGAAAGAACUCAGCAAAUACUAACUUCGACUGUUUAACAAAAACAUAGCCUCCUGAUUUAUAAUAGGAAGUGAAGCCUGCCCAGUGACCCACGGGUUAAACGGCCGCGGUACCCUGACCGUGCUAAGGUAGCAUAUAAUAUACCCUUUAAUUGUGGGAUGGUAUGAAAGGACAAACGAAAGUUAAACUGUUUCCUAAAUAUAUAUAAAAACUAUUCCUCAGGUGAAGAAACCUGAAUACUAUUAAAAGACAAGAAGACCCUGUAGAGCUUUACCUAAACAACCAUAGAGAAAAAGCCAUAGUAUUUUUCUCUAUGCCACACAUAUGGUUUAACUGGGGCGGUUAGAGAACAAUAAACUUCUACCUAAAAAAUAAGGUAAACACACCAAUUAAAUAAAUAAAUUCAAAUUUAAAGAAAUAAGCUACCUCAGGGAUAACAGACUAAUCCUUCCUGAGAGUACCUAUUGAAGGAAGGGGUUGGCACCUCGAUGUUGGCUUAGGGCAUCCCAGGGGUAGUAGCAGCCCCUAAAGGUAGGUUUGUUCAACCUUUAAAGCCCUACAUGAGCUGAGUUCAGACCGGCGUAAGCUAGGUCAGCUUCUAUCUUUAAUCAAAUAAUCUCUCAAUUGUACGAAAGGACCUUGAAGAAAAAAGAAAUACUUUACUAUAUAGCACAAACAUAAAAUCUCGUUUACUCUCUAAAUUUUAACACUAAAGGGU